This 395-nucleotide ribosomal RNA is filed under the name uncultured eukaryote. RNAcentral describes it as "partial 18S ribosomal RNA". It matches the Rfam family "Eukaryotic small subunit ribosomal RNA", at positions 592 to 976 of the family's 1831-position model. The record is from RNAcentral.
CAGUAGCGUAUAUUAAAGUUGUUGCAGUUAAAAAGCUCGUAGUUGGAUUUCUGGUGUGAGACGCCUGGCCCGCCGAGAUUUUUUUACUCGUGUGAGUGCCGGCGUGUCUCCGCCAUCCUUUCUGGGGAACGUGUCUACCGUUCAUUCGGCCGGGCAACGGGAACCAGAUCGUUUACUUUGAAAAAAUUAGAGUGUUCAAAGCAGGCUUGCGCUAUGAAUACAUUAGCAUGGAAUAAUAAUUUAGGACUUUGGUUCUAUUUUGUUGGUUUCUAGGACUGAAGUAAUGAUUGAUAGGGAUAGUUGGGGGUGCUAGUAUUCAGCGGCCAGAGGUGAAAUUCUUGGAUUCGCUGAAGACUAACUUAUGCGAAAGCAUUCACCAAGGAUGUCUUCUUUAA